Molecule: ribosomal RNA, 253 nt
Filed under: uncultured bacterium
Lineage: Bacteria
Description: partial 16S ribosomal RNA
Rfam family: Bacterial small subunit ribosomal RNA
Source: RNAcentral
UACAGAGGGGGCAAGCGUUGUUCGGAAUUACUGGGCGUAAAGGGCGCGUGGGCGGCCUGCUAAGUCGAACGUGAAAUCCCCGGGCUCAACCCGGGAACUGCGUCCGAUACUGACAGGCUCGAAUCCGGGAGAGGGAUGUGGAAUUCCAGGUGUAGCGGUGAAAUGCGUAGAUAUCUGGAGGAACACCGGUGGCGAAGGCGGCAUCCUGGACCGGUAUUGACGCUGAGGCGCGAAAGCGUGGGGAGCAAACAGG